This is a non-coding RNA of Python bivittatus (Burmese python), 1062 nucleotides long. The record is from RefSeq and is a predicted model, not a curated record. NCBI's taxonomy places the organism in Eukaryota, Metazoa, Chordata, Lepidosauria, Squamata, Pythonidae.
ACCCCGCUGCGGCUGCUUUUCUGGCGCGUUCGUGAUUUCAGCCCCGCGCUAGACCCUUCCCAGCCAUCCCCGAAGUUCUUGGGGUGCCCUGAAGCUCCCCUCUUUUAACAGGGCGAGCUGCCGCGUUGGGAACCGAGGCGAUGCCGGACUCAAUCCUAUCUCGGCUCGGAAGCCGCUUUUUAAAUUUCCCGGUGCGAAAGGCUCCUUGACGGGGGCCGAUUGUGGCGCCCUGCUCACCGCAGCAAUAUUUGAGCGAAGGAGACGGGAGGCUCCAGCCGGCACCUCAGCAAAGGGGACCCUCAGGAAAUGCUCACACCUGCGGCCGAAGAGAGGCUGCAAUUCCAGGCUGAAGCAGGGGACGGAUCUAUCCGAAGGCACCCCGUACAGCCAGAAGAGCAGCUGCACACAAUUUUCUGCAUUGAAGAGGAAACAACACAUCUUGGGUGUUCGGUAUCUGGCAAUUCGAGCGUGGUAUCUAGGCUGAGAACCAGUGAGUUCUAGUCCUGCCGCCUUAGGCCUGAAGCCAGCUGGGUGACUAUGGGCCAGUCCCCCUCUCAGCCCCAGGAAAAAGGAAAGAACAAAUCACUCCCAAAAAUGUUGCUGCAUGGACUUGUUCCUGCACCCACCAGGAGUAAUAUUGACUCAAAGACACAUUUCCCGAGCAUCGUGUAUAGCUGAAUGCAUCUAAUUACUCCUCAGUCACCUUGACUAAUGCUUCUUCAACUUGCAGUUAAAUUAAGGCUCAUUUUAUACUCUCAAACUCGGCUUCAUACAACAUCCAGGCAAAAUUUAAUAUUAAGCAUCACCUAAACUGAGAUGUGGCAGGGGAGAAGAAACCAUGCACAAGGCAUCAUUUUGUCCGUUAAAACUUCAGAUAAGCAGGACAAUUGAACAAUACAAACGGAAAAGAGAUGGACCCAAGACAUUGGACAGGAAUGUCAAACUACAUUGAGGCAAGGAGACAAAAGAGCCAAGGAAAACAGUUAACGGCCAAUCUGAAACCAUCAAUCAAAUCAGUGAAAUAACGCGAAGGCACAAUUCCUCAGCGAGGCUGACAAUAUU